AAUCAACGCUGGCGGCGUGCCUAACACAUGCAAGUCGAGCGGUAACGCGGGAGCAAUCCUGGCGACGAGCGGCGAACGGGUGAGUAAUGCUUCGGAAUCUGCCCAAUGGUGGGGAAUAACCAACCGAAAGGUUGGCUAAUACCGCAUAAGUCCUAAGGGAGAAAGCGGGGGAUCGUAAGACCUCGCGCCGAUGGAUGAGCCGAAGUCGGAUUAGCUAGUUGGUAGGUAACGGCCUACCAAGGCGACAAUCCGUAGCUGGUCUGAGAGGACGGCCAGCCACACUGGGACUGAGACACGGCCCAGACUCCUACGGGAGGCAGCAGUGGGGAAUAUUGGACAAUGGGGGAAACCCUGAUCCAGCGACGCCGCGUGUGUGAAGAAGGCCUGCGGGUUGUAAAGCAC
Molecule: ribosomal RNA, 402 nt
Filed under: uncultured bacterium
Lineage: Bacteria
Description: bacterial SSU rRNA
Rfam family: Bacterial small subunit ribosomal RNA
Source: RNAcentral